Molecule: ribosomal RNA, 194 nt
Filed under: uncultured bacterium
Lineage: Bacteria
Description: partial 16S ribosomal RNA
Rfam family: Bacterial small subunit ribosomal RNA
Source: RNAcentral
ACGCUCGACACCUACAGGCAGCAGUGGGGAAUAUUGCACAAUGGGGGAAACCCUGAUGCAGCAACGCCGCGUGAAGGAAGACGGUUUUCGGAUUGUAAACUUCUGUUCUUAGUGAAGAUAGUGACGGUAGCUAAGGAGCAAGCCACGGCUAACUACGNGCCAGCAGCGCGGUAAUCUGAGCGGGCUGGCAAGGC